GAUGAACGCUGGCGGCGUGCCUAAUACAUGCAAGUCGAGCGAACGGACGAGAAGCUUGCUUCUCUGAUGUUAGCGGCGGACGGGUGAAUAACACGUGGAUAACCUACCUAUAAGACUGGGAUAACUUCGGGAAACCGGAGCUAAUACCGGAUAAUAUUUUGAACCGCAUGGUUCAAAAGUGAAAGACGGCCUUGCUGUCACUUAUAGAUGGAUCCGCGCUGCAUUAGCUAGUUGGUAAGGUAACGGCUUACCAAGGCAACGAUGCAUAGCCGACCUGAGAGGGUGAUCGGCCACACUGGAACUGAGACACGGUCCAGACUCCUACGGGAGGCAGCAGUAGGGAAUCUUCCGCAAUGGGCGAAAGCCUGACGGAGCAACGCCGCGUGAGUGAUGAAGGUCCUCGGAUCGUAAAACUCUGUUAUUAGGGAAGAACAUAUGUGUAAGUAACUGUGCACAUCUUGACGGUACCUAAUCAGAAAGCCACGGCUAACUACGUG
RNAcentral lists this ribosomal RNA (497 nucleotides) under uncultured bacterium. Its description in RNAcentral is "partial 16S ribosomal RNA". It matches the Rfam family "Bacterial small subunit ribosomal RNA", at positions 28 to 507 of the family's 1533-position model. The record is from RNAcentral.